GCGCGAAAACUUUACAAUGCUGGCAACAGCGAUAAGGGAACCUCGAGUGCCAGGUUACAAAUCUGGCUGUCGAGAUGCCUAAAAAGCAUUUCAUAGCAAGGGCCGGGCAAGACCGGUGCCAGCCGCCGCGGUAACACCGGCGGCUCGAGUGGUAACCGUUAUUAUUGGGUCUAAAGGGUCUGUAGCCGGCCGGAUAAGUCUCUUGAGAAAUCUGGCAGCUUAACUGUCAGGCUUUCAGGAGAUACUGUCUGGCUCGAGGCCGGGAGAGGUGAGAGGUACUUCAGGGGUAGGGGUGAAAUCUUGUAAUCCUUGAAGGACCACCAGUGGCGAAGGCGUCUCACCAGAACGGACCUGACGGCAAGGGACGAAAGCUAGGGUAGCAAACG
Molecule: ribosomal RNA, 386 nt
Filed under: uncultured prokaryote
Description: bacterial SSU rRNA
Rfam family: Archaeal small subunit ribosomal RNA
Source: RNAcentral